Molecule: long non-coding RNA, 615 nt
Organism: Wasmannia auropunctata (little fire ant)
Lineage: Eukaryota; Metazoa; Arthropoda; Insecta; Hymenoptera; Formicidae
Exons: 2
Source: RefSeq, a predicted model, not a curated record
GCGUAUCGCAUGUAAUACGCACGUAAUGCGUUAAAGGCGUGUUGCGUUAUAGCCGGGAACCCCGCGGGCCGGACCAGAUUCGCGCAAUGCCGUGUGAACCUUGAUCUACUUACCGGUCUGGCGUGGCCCGCAACGCACAAUGUCUCGUACCUCUCUCGCCCACCACCUCUCUGGCUACUCUGGAUAUCCCGACGCCUGUUUUGGCAACGAAUAAAUCCUGAAGAGAAGCCUCUCGCGAAUUCUCCGUUACAAAAACUUAUUCCGAGUAUCGUAACUCGAAGCUGCGAACAGUUUUUGAAUCACCAGGGUACCUGUAUACAUAUAUCGUAAGUAAAAAACAUUUUGAAUCACUUGUCACUUUUAUGAAAGAUACAUAAAAUAAAUUUGAACGCUGCUUUUACGCCUUACACAUAACAUCUAGGAGUUCGCCUUACACGUAAACAUCUAGGAGUUCGCCUUACACGUAAACAUCUAGAAGUUACCUCUUUCAACAAUACAAAAUAAAUAAAUUAUUUUCACUUAUCGACACAAAACAAGUUUCAUACAUCGUUGUUAUGCUUUAAAAUUAUUUUCCUAUCUCAGAUAAAUCUGAAAAUAAUGAAUAACUAAAAAAAA